AAAAGAUGAGCCCAGUCCUCCGCCCAGGUGUUUCCCCUGCUCACUGAGCAGCCAUCGUGGCUGCCAGGCGCUGGGAAGGCAGAGAACUCAAAAGGAAGAUGUAUGCUGCACCCAUCCAGAAUUGCACUUUGGACGAUGGCCCUGCUGACAAGAAUUCAGCAAGGCGUCCUUCUGAAGGGAGAGCCCUGUGAGAGCAGAAUCAAGAGAACGCCAGCAGGAGCUGCCCACGGGAGAGCAUCCUGUUGCCAUUCAGGUGCCAUAUCAAUGUGAUGCUCAAAACCACCGUGUGCGGCACAGAGCAGAAGGUUUCCUGGAAGAGGAAUCAUGGCCCUCAGGAAGUCAAAGUGGAUGCACAGAGCUGGGAGAGAGAAGUUCCAGUGGCAAGCCAACCAGCAGUCCUUCCUGGACGGCUCACAUGGGACCUGCUGGGCAGCACUCACUCAUUUCCACGUGUGGGUAGAACAAGGACUCUGAGAUGUGUCCCAGGUCUCACUGCACACAGCAGCGCCUCUCUGAGGUCUGGACCUGGCACCUAUUGCAAGGGAUUGGAAGGCUCAUUCAGAUCAAACAGGUGGAACCUUACUUUUAACUAUCACACCUUUUCUUCUUCUCACGGCUCUGCCCUGACCCUGAGAACCAAAAGGAAAGAAUGAGGGGCUGGGACUCACUCCUCUCUUUCUCAUGUCUAAGAAGCUCAGACAUUCAUUUAUUGGCCAAGAAUCGUAAGACUCUCCAUUUCAAUUUUUUUUUUUUUUUUUUUUUGAUAGGCAGAGUGGACAGUGAGAGAGAGAGACAGAGAGAAAUGUCUUCCUUUGCCGUUGGUUCACCCUCCAAUGGCCGCUGCGGCUGGCGCACCGCACUGAUCCGAUGGCAGGAGCCAGGUACUUAUCCUGGUCUCCCAUGGGGUGCAGGGCCCAAGCACUUGGGCCAUCCUCCACUGCACUCCCUGGCCACAGCAAAGAGCUGGCCUGGAAGAGGGGCAACUGGGACAGAAUCCGGCACCCUGACCGGGACUAGAACCCAGUGUGCUGGCGCCGCAAGGCGGAGGAUUAGCCUAGUGAGCCGCGGCACCAGCUCCCUUUUUAUUAAUUUCUAAAUGGGAUCCAGUGCUUCCGAUUUUCCUUCUUUGAAAGACUCAGAGGAUCUUGUCUGUGGGAUCCACAUCUGACGUUCUCAGCAGUUCUCUGCUCAAGGAAGGCGUGGAAUCCGAGACCAGCA
This is a non-coding RNA of Oryctolagus cuniculus (rabbit), 1218 nucleotides long. NCBI's taxonomy places the organism in Eukaryota, Metazoa, Chordata, Mammalia, Lagomorpha, Leporidae. The record is from RefSeq and is a predicted model, not a curated record.